UACGAAUGGGGCAAGCGUUGUUCGGAAUCACUGGGCUUAAAGCGUGCGUAGGCGGAUUUGCAAGUCAGAAGUGAAAUCCCCGGGCUUAACCCGGGAAUUGCUUUUGAAACUGCAAAUCUAGAAGAUUGAAGAGGUUAGCAGAAUUCCGAGUGUAGAGGUGAAAUUCGCAGAUAUUCGGAGGAAUACCAAUGGCGUAGGCAGCUAACUGGGCAAUUUUUGACGCUGAGGCACGAAAGCGUGGGGAGCAAACAGGAUUAGAAACCC
RNAcentral lists this ribosomal RNA (264 nucleotides) under uncultured bacterium. RNAcentral describes it as "partial 16S ribosomal RNA". It matches the Rfam family "Bacterial small subunit ribosomal RNA", at positions 524 to 787 of the family's 1533-position model. The record is from RNAcentral.